UAAUAAUACAAUCCUCCACAGUAGCUGAUCUGACGCAUGUAUGCCUAUUUUAAUGUAUGAGGGCACUAUUUUCACUAGGAGCUGUUUAAUUUCAGUGCAGUAACUCGAUAAACAGACGGAACUGCCCACUUCCGUCUUGGCUACGAGCAUUCGUAUUCAAACAGUCCAAUAUUAAGGGAUGUUUUGGUAAAGUUAGCCUUCCUGUUGCUAUCAAAACAAUGCAUCUUAAAACAGAAACCAACACACAAGAGUGAAUAUAACGUACGAAGUUUGUUAACGUGACGUUUAGUGUCAUGACGUGCAACCUACCAGAAUCAAAUCAAACCGCAGGCGCAGUAUGCGGCCUCUGAUUGGUGGUGGACUCCUGGUGGGCGGGGACAGGGGCGUGCCCUCUGUUGUCUGUGUUCGGUUAAAGAUUUGAAAUAGAAAACAACAGACUGCUCGGCUGUUACAGUUUCUGGCUUUUAAAGGCUUUUUCUUGAAUUAAAGGUCCUUGUGAACGUUUACAGAUUGGCUCUCCACAAUGGUCUGCGACUGAAACACUAACAGCAGCAGAUAGAGACUGUGAGCUUCCUGCUAAAGAAAGAAGGGAAGAAAGACAACAGCACACACCUCAAGAGAAGACAAAGAGAAAGCAGUCAUGUUCAAAACGAUCAGCCGUCUGCUUUUUGGGGGAGAGGAGGAGACCCCUGAAACAGUCAAGUCUGGAAAAGAGGUGGAAGAAGAGUGGCAUGUUGUCAGUCAUCAAGAGGCAGGUUCAGCAGAAAACCAGGAUGCAAAACUGACUGACAUCCAACCGUCAAACUCUGCUCCUCAUGGGGACACAGUCGCAACUGUGGCAGCUGACAUCAGUGUUUUGGAUCCGGAGCCUAUGGUUGAAAGCAGCAGUAGCCCCAGUCGAGCCAUCUCUGGCUCCAGUUCUCAGCCUAAGGCUUUGCUAGAAGUGUCAAAGAUAACCUCCACUCAGAAGGCCAAGACCUGGGCAGACCGACAGCACAUGACUCGUAACGCCAUCCAGCGCCAGAACCGUGUUCGUCACGGCGUCCAACAUCACGCCUUCCCGCUCCAACAGCCAGGACAUCGCAACCUCUGCCACUAAGGCUCUGGUGCCACUACUUCAUAUGUUAACCAGGAGAUGAUCUCACAACACUCAUCAUACACUUAUACGGCAAUAUAUACAAAUACACACACCUUUUAGUCUUGUGUAGACAUAAGCUAUACAUCUAGUCUGGAUGUAACCCAUUACAACAACAACUCUAACCACCAGGUAGUAGGCAGCUACUUUAUGAAUUGUACUGUAUCUGAAUUUGGAGUGCUAUUGUUCACCUCAUGUAAUGAGAUCUUUUUUGUUUGUGUGCAUGUGGAUGAAAAAAGUGCAGCCUAUGCAAAUGUAUGCUGUAACAUUUUGGAGAAAGUGAUGUGAUUUGUGCAUGGACAUGCAUUUACCUCUGGCCUAUACUCGACUGAGAUGAUCGAUCAUCUGAUCCAAUAUUCAGCUUUAUUUUAAUCAGUCUUUCUUUGUUGUUUUUUUCUUUUAUCCAAUUGUCAAUAAAAUAAAUUAAUUUAAAACUAUGAUACUUCGGCCCUGAUGCAUCAUGUUAUCUGCAAAGUAACUAUUAACUAAAAGUCAUCCAGUAAAUGUAGUUGAUUGGAUGUAUUAAGACCUCGAAAUGGAAAUACUCAGUAAAGUACAAGUACCCUAAAAUAACUGUACUGAGUUAAUGUAGCCUACUUGGUAACAUUCCAUCACUGCCUCAGUGCCAGAUGCUUUAAAGUUUAGGCUGAACUUGCUGCUGCACACAUGGUUUUGAAGUGACUAGCGGUGUCCACUUAUCGCUGAUCAGAUGUGUUGAUUUCUAAGUUUGCAUGUCACUAUAUGAUCUCAUCAGUAAACACAAAUAUGUGAACCAAAUGUGUGAAAUCAUUUACAUUAAAGAUUUCACAUUUGCUCAGUAAAUUUUUAAGGCCAGGUUGGUUAAUUAUAACAGAUGGUACUGUAUUCGUCAUUGACUGUAUAUAAAGAUGCAGGCUAUAUAUUCAUAUUUGUAGAGUCAUUUACUAACGCACCAAUAGGAGUCCAAUGAAGGUGUGUGGUAGUCACACAAGGUAAUGUACAGUAAGCAGGUGAGACACUUGUUUGGUUAACUUAAGCAAGAAAUCACAGAAACAAACUUCAAGCAGAAGUCAUAGACCUAACUGUAAAUAUAAUUUCCAAUAAAUUCCACAGCUACAAUAAACAUAAUCCAAGAGUUCUUCCUGACACUUAAACUUACUCAAAAGCAGUCGUCUGUCAGCUGCUCACCCUUUACAGCGCAUCAUUUUCAUUUGUUCCUGCAGUAAAAUAGAUGAGUCCUCAACUCCUGCUACCUCGACAGAAGUGUACAUAUAAUAUUCAUAUACAUUCCCAGCUAGUCUCUGUUCUGGAAAAUUGAGACACAGAUGCAUAAACCCUGACUCACCAUUGUUACUGUAAUCUGGUCUGCUAUGUGCUUAACCAGACUACAGUUUGAAAUGGCUGAAGUUUCAAAUGAUGUUUAAAAACCUUUACAACUGCUUAAUGAAUGGUUAAUAAAUCAUUUAUGUUAGGAAAAUAACUAUUAACCAAAAAUUAAAUUAUUUAUUCUCAGAUCUUUUUACUCAUUCUGAUUAAAGUUAUUUUUAAUUUCAAUAUUAACUUAAAUAAGGCCUUUACCCAUAGGUGUCAUUUACACUGGGGAUUCUGGUUAAAUAUCUGGUUAAGUUAAAAAUGUGCUAAAAAUAGCUUGAAGCUAGAAGUGUCAAUUAACCAAUGAAAAUUAAAUGAACCUGCACGAUUUCCCCACCCUAAUUAUGUACUCUUAUUAUGUAUGUGACCUCACACAACCCUGAAUACAUUGUCUAAAAUCACAUUCUAUGUAGUUUAUUUUAGUGAACCUUCAUCUAACCGGGCAAGUCACUGGAAGUCUAGCAAAAGGCAAAGUCAAUAUAUGUUGACAACUGUGUAAAAAAAAAUGUCCUU
Sparus aurata (gilthead seabream) is the source of this 2998-nucleotide long non-coding RNA. The record is from Ensembl. NCBI's taxonomy places the organism in Eukaryota, Metazoa, Chordata, Actinopteri, Spariformes, Sparidae.